CCCAGGAGCCACAAGUGGCAACCACUAUUAUUGGGCCUAAAGCGUCCGUAGCCGGUUCAGAAAAUUUUCUGUGAAAUCGUUAGGCUUAACUUAACGGUAUGCAGGAAAGACUACUGAACUAGGGACCGGGAGGCGUCAGAGGUAUUCCUGAGGGAGCGGUAAAAUGCUAUAAUCUCAGGAGGACCUCCUGUGGCGAAGGCGUCUGACGAGAACGGAUCCGACGGUGAGGGACGAAAGCCAGGGGAGCGAACCGG
RNAcentral lists this ribosomal RNA (254 nucleotides) under uncultured bacterium. RNAcentral's name for it is "partial 16S ribosomal RNA". It matches the Rfam family "Archaeal small subunit ribosomal RNA", at positions 474 to 727 of the family's 1478-position model. The record is from RNAcentral.